This 418-nucleotide ribosomal RNA is filed under the name Babesia bovis. RNAcentral describes it as "SSU rRNA". It matches the Rfam family "Eukaryotic small subunit ribosomal RNA", at positions 486 to 984 of the family's 1831-position model. Lineage: Eukaryota; Apicomplexa; Aconoidasida; Piroplasmida; Babesiidae. The record is from RNAcentral.
UAGGGCUCUUUCGGGUCUUAUAAUUGGAAUGAGUACAAUUUAAAUCCCUUAACGAGGAACAAUUGGAGGGCAAGUCUGGUGCCAGCAGCCGCGGUAAUUCCAGCUCCAAUAGCGUAUAUUAAACUUGUUGCAGUUAAAAAGCUCGUAGUUGUACUUUAUGUCCUCCGCGUGGUCCCUUCCUCGCCGGGACGCCUCGUUACUUUGAGAAAAUUAGAGUGUUUCAAGCAGGUUUCGCCUGUAUAAUUGAGCAUGGAAUAACCUUGUAUGACCCUGUCGUACCGUUGGUUGACUUUGGGUAAUGGUUAAUAGGAACGGUUGGGGGCAUUCGUACUCGACUGUCAGAGGUGAAAUUCUUAGAUUUGUCGAUGACGCACGACUGCGAAAGCAUUUGCCAAGGACGCUUCCAUUAAUCAAGAAC